AUAUUGAAACGUGAUUGUGCCGCAAAGGCCUUUGGUUGCAAUACAACUUUUAACAACGGAUCUCUUGGCUCUCGCAUCGAUGAAGAACGCAGCGAAAUGCGAUAAGUAAUGUGAAUUGCAGAAUUCAGUGAAUCAUCGAAUCUUUGAACGCACCUUGCGCUCCCUGGUAUUCCGGGGAGCACGCCUGUUCGAGUGUCGUGAAAUCCUCAAGCUUGGGUGCUUUUUCAUCUUAAGCUUGGUAAUUGGGCUCUGCUGGUCCUUUCAUUGGAACAGCUGGCCUUAAAAUCAUUAGCUGAUCCUCAUGUUGUGGCGUUGGUUUUACUCAGCGUGAUAAUGAAUCUGACCGCUGGGGACAUCUUUCGGGAUGGCCAAUUCUCAUCUUGGGUUGCUUCUAAUUUGG
This 400-nucleotide ribosomal RNA is filed under the name uncultured fungus. Its description in RNAcentral is "eukaryotic LSU rRNA". The stretch from base 45 to 198 matches the Rfam family "5.8S ribosomal RNA". The record is from RNAcentral. Lineage: Eukaryota; Fungi.